UCCCUGUUGGCUCAGCUGGUAAAGAAUCUGCCUGCAGUGCAGGAGGCCCAGGUUCAACUCCUGGGUUGGGAA
Non-coding RNA from Bos taurus (domestic cattle), 72 nucleotides. Lineage: Eukaryota; Metazoa; Chordata; Mammalia; Artiodactyla; Bovidae. The record is from Rfam.